RNAcentral lists this ribosomal RNA (484 nucleotides) under uncultured bacterium. Its description in RNAcentral is "partial 16S ribosomal RNA". It matches the Rfam family "Bacterial small subunit ribosomal RNA", at positions 30 to 507 of the family's 1533-position model. The record is from RNAcentral.
AUUGAACGCUGGCGGCAGGCCUAACACAUGCAAGUCGAGCGGAUGAAGGGAGCUUGCUCCUGGAUUCAGCGGCGGACGGGUGAGUAAUGCCUAGGAAUCUACCUGGUAGUGGGGGAUAACGUCCGGAAACGGGCGCUAAUACCGCAUACGUCCUGAGGGAGAAAGUGGGGGAUCUUCGGACCUCACGCUAUCAGAUGAGCCUAGGUCGGAUUAGCUAGUUGGUGGGGUAAAGGCCUACCAAGGCGACGAUCCGUAACUGGUCUGAGAGGAUGAUCAGUCACACUGGAACUGAGACACGGUCCAGACUCCUACGGGAGGCAGCAGUGGGGAAUAUUGGACAAUGGGCGAAGGCCUGAUCCAGCCAUGCCGCGUGUGUGAAGAAGGUCUUCGGAUUGUAAAGCACGUUAAGUUGGGAGGAAGGGCAGUAAGUUAAUACCUUGCUGUUUUGACGUUACCAACAGAAUAAGCACCGGCUAACUUCGUG